UUCAUUAUUAUUUCAUUAAUGGGCUGGCAUGUGGGCCGUGGUUCCAGGGGGGCUCAGAGAGGCACCGCCUGAUGUCUGACAGCUUCUCUUUCUAUCUCUUUUCUUACCUGGACUCUGGGUUGCUUGUUAGCUUCUUCUGCCAGUUCUGGGUUUUCAAGGGGAGAGGGGCCCAGUGAUGGCUGUCCUUUGAAGGAAAGGGAAGAAUGUCUCCUGCUUAACAUGUUUCUAUGUUUCCAGUUAGUUAGGUUAGUUAGUUAGUUAGAGCCAGGGUAUCUCACUCUGUUGCACAGGCUGGAGUGCAAUGGCAUGAUCUUGGCUCACAGUAGCCUCCACCUACCAGGCUCACGCAGUGCUCCCACCCCAGCCUCCCAAGUAGCUGGGACUGCAGGCAUGUGCCACCAUGCUUGGCUACUUUAAAAUUUUUUUUUUUUUUUUUUUUUUUUAAUACAGACAAGGUCUCACUAUAUUGCCCAGGUUGGUCUUAAACUCAUGGGCUCAAGUGAUCCUCCUGCCUUGGCCUUUCAAAGUGCUGAUAUUACAGACAGGGUUUCAAUUUUUUAAAGCUCCCAGCAGGGGUAUUAAACUCUCCCUUUCCAGAGAAAGCACACUCUGUCCCCAUCCCUCAUGGUAUCCUCUCCUGCCUCUGCGUAGGGUUCACUCUGGGGGAAAGUGCCACUUCAGAGAUUCCUUUUUGUGUGUGGCUUCUGACUGACCGGUCCCUGCUCAGUCACAGCUGCUGCUUCUCAGGGUGGGGUCCCUGAGGCCUGGAGUGUGGCCUCUGAAAACCUUCAGGGCCAGAAGCAGAAUGAGAGCCUGUGGCCACAUAGCCCCUGGUGGGAGACGUCCUGCCACCCUUUGCUUCUCUGUGUCACUCUGGCUGUACAUUUCAGAUCCCUGGGAAACAUUAACUGGUAGGACCUAGAAGGGGAGGUGAGGAGGGUCACCCCCCAGGUGUGCCUGUGGUGAGCCUUUGUGCUGAGCAGGUGCAGGGAGGGAGGCCCAGGUGCACACAUCUGUGAAGUAGGGGCAGCUGGUUGGGCUCCUUGACCUGCUCCAGAGCUUCUCCUUAUUUUCUAGCCACUUCACCUGCAGAAGGCCCAGGUGGCUGUGGCCUCUAGGGUCCUUUGCAGUGAACAUGAUGCCUGUCCUCAGCCCCUCUCUAGGCCUGGCGCUGUGCUCAGCACUGUCGUAUGUGUGUAUGUGUGUGUGCACGCACAGGAAUGUGCAGACAUCAUGAGGUGUGGUCUCUGCUCUUAGGCAGCUUGCCUUGUGGCUGAAAUGAACUAUCACCUGCAUCAAGGGGUGGAAACACAAGGCCAGAUGCAGUGACCUUGUCUGGAGUCAGACAGUGGCUCCGUGACCUGGCUUCACUCCAGAACUACCUGGGGUUUUUAGUUGUGCAAAUCCCAGGUCCCACCCAGAUUACGAGUCCAGUUUUCUACAGGUGGAGCCCAGGAAGGAGCAUUUUUAACACGAUGGUACUGCCCAUUCACCCAGCCCAGCCAGUGGUCUCUGUGUACCCAGGAACCGCUGACACAGAGCUUGUGCUCCCCAUAAAACGGGAGACAGAGCCUUCACGGACGGGGGACGUGUGGCUUGGUCAUGACAGGGUGUUUCGUACCAGCACAGACUGUGUUCAGGUGACAUUAAGGACAAGUUCCUGCAGGCUAACUGCCUGGACAGGGCUGGGUGGGGGUAGAAGUUAGAGGGGUCACAGAGGGGCUUCCUCCCAGCCGCCUCACCAGCUGCUUGAUUUAGGGCUUGGCUCUGGGUCCUCCUGGGUCUGAUUCUGAACCACGGGACUGGUGUGGCCUGCAGGCUCCUCCUGCCACAAGCUGUUCAUGGUGCAGGGGGAGAACAGUGUCCACAGUUCCCCGGACAGCAGCAGUGGAUACCAGGCCCCCAGGAGUUGUUACUGAAGUUGCUGCUGGACAACUUGCCUUUCACUGAGCUCCACAUAGCACCCGUGGUGAUGCGAGCUGGGCGGAGAGAGUCUGCCAGCCUGCGCAUCAGCUCCCAACUGGGAGGGGCAGAGGGAGGAGGGGGUGGGAGCCCCAGGCAGCAGGGCUCUGGGAACAGUGGGGCCCUGGGUUCCAGGGGUGUCUGGCAGGCCCCUCCUUACUCUACCUCACUUAGCCUCUGGGUGGAGAUGCUGGCCACAGUCAGGCUCUGUCUCUAAGGACUGGAGAAGUGGCGGGUGUGGGCUGCUGCCCCGUGCAGCCUCUGAACAGACCCCAGGGCCUCUGCCAAUCAUGACUCCUUGCUUUCAGCUGGACCCACAGGCCCUGCAGGACAGAGACUGGCAGCGCACCGUCAUCGCCAUGAAUGGGAUUGAAGUAAAGCUCUCGGUCAAGUUCAACAGCAGAGAGUUCAACUUGAAGAGGAUGCCAUCAUGAAAACAGGGGUCUUCGGAGUCAAGAUUGCUGUGGUCACCAAGAGAGAGAGGUCCAAGGUGCCCUACAUCGUACGCCAGUGCGUGGAGGAGAUCGAGCGCCGAGGCAUGGAGGAGGUGGGCAUCUACCGCGUGUCCGGAGUGGCCACGGACAUCCAGGCGCUGAAGGCAGCCUUCGACGUCAAUAACAAGGACGUGUCGGUGAUGAUGAGCGAGAUGGACGUGAACGCCAUCGCAGGCACGCUGAAGCUGUACUUCCGUGAGCUGCCCGAGCCCCUCUUCACCGACGCGUUCUACCCCAACUUCGCCGAGGGCAUUGGUGAGCACUGGAGGCCUUGGCCUCAUGGGAAACGUCUCCUCCACGUGCACUGCUGCCCUUGGAGGCUGUGAAAAGUGAGGUGUGGGAACCCGAGCUGUGCCCCCUCUGCCAUGGUCAGUGUUUUAACCCAACCUCAGAAAACAGGGGACCAAAAUCAAGCCUGUCCUGGAAGACCUCGCCCAUCCCCAGAGGGCUCCCCGUCCCUAUUCCUCAAGGAGACCAAGAGGGUGAAAU
This is a non-coding RNA of Chlorocebus sabaeus (green monkey), 2945 nucleotides long. The record is from RefSeq and is a predicted model, not a curated record. Lineage: Eukaryota; Metazoa; Chordata; Mammalia; Primates; Cercopithecidae.